RNAcentral lists this ribosomal RNA (700 nucleotides) under uncultured Bacteroidales bacterium. Its description in RNAcentral is "bacterial SSU rRNA". It matches the Rfam family "Bacterial small subunit ribosomal RNA", at positions 42 to 731 of the family's 1533-position model. Lineage: Bacteria; Pseudomonadati; Bacteroidota; Bacteroidia; Bacteroidales. The record is from RNAcentral.
ACAGGCUUAACACAUGCAAGUCGAGGGGCAGCAUGGUCUUAGCUUGCUAAGGCCGAUGGCGACCGGCGCACGGGUGAGUAACACGUAUCCAACCUGCCGUCUACUCUUGGACAGCCUUCUGAAAGGAAGAUUAAUACAAGAUGGCAUCAUGAGUCCGCAUGUUCACAUGAUUAAAGGUAUUCCGGUAGACGAUGGGGAUGCGUUCCAUUAGAUAGUAGGCGGGGUAACGGCCCACCUAGUCUUCGAUGGAUAGGGGUUCUGAGAGGAAGGUCCCCCACAUUGGAACUGAGACACGGUCCAAACUCCUACGGGAGGCAGCAGUGAGGAAUAUUGGUCAAUGGGCGAGAGCCUGAACCAGCCAAGUAGCGUGAAGGAUGACUGCCCUAUGGGUUGUAAACUUCUUUUAUAAAGGAAUAAAGUCGGGUAUGGAUACCCGUUUGCAUGUACUUUAUGAAUAAGGAUCGGCUAACUCCGUGCCAGCAGCCGCGGUAAUACGGAGGAUCCGAGCGUUAUCCGGAUUUAUUGGGUUUAAAGGGAGCGUAGAUGGAUGUUUAAGUCAGUUGUGAAAGUUUGCGGCUCAACCGUAAAAUUGCAGUUGAUACUGGAUAUCUUGAGUGCAGUUGAGGCAGGCGGAAUUCGUGGUGUAGCGGUGAAAUGCUUAGAUAUCACGAAGAACUCCGAUUGCGAAGGCAGCCUGCUA